This is a small nuclear RNA of Perognathus longimembris pacificus (Pacific pocket mouse), 106 nucleotides long. Lineage: Eukaryota; Metazoa; Chordata; Mammalia; Rodentia; Heteromyidae. The record is from RefSeq and is a predicted model, not a curated record.
GUGCUUGCUUGGGCAACAUAUACUGAUACAGAGAAGCAAUACAGAGAAGAUUAGCACGGCCCUGUGCCAGGAUGACAGGCAAAUUCAUGAAAUGGUCCAGUAUUUU